RNAcentral lists this ribosomal RNA (518 nucleotides) under uncultured bacterium. Its description in RNAcentral is "bacterial SSU rRNA". It matches the Rfam family "Bacterial small subunit ribosomal RNA", at positions 29 to 527 of the family's 1533-position model. The record is from RNAcentral.
AAUCAACGCUGGCGGCGUGCCUAACACAUGCAAGUCGAACGCGAAAGGGACUUCGGUCCUGAGUAGAGUGGCGAACGGGUGAGUAACGCGUGGGUGAUCUACCCUCGAGUGGGGGAUAACGUUCCGAAAGGGACGCUAAUACCGCAUGAUGUUCCGGGUUUGAAGACCUGGAAACCAAAGCCGGGGACCGUAAGGCCUGGCGCUCAAGGAGGAGCCCGCGUCUGAUUAGCUAGUUGGCGGGGUAAUGGCCCACCAAGGCGACGAUCAGUAGCCGGCCUGAGAGGGCGGACGGCCACACUGGGACUGAGACACGGCCCAGACUCCUACGGGAGGCAGCAGUGGGGAAUUGUUCGCAAUGGGCGCAAGCCUGACGACGCAACGCCGCGUGGAGGAUGAAGGUCUUCGGAUUGUAAACUCCUGUUGAUCGGGACGAAAAGCUUCGACCUAACACGUCGAGGACUGACGGUACCGGUUGAGGAAGCCACGGCUAACUCUGUGCCAGCAGCCGCGGUAAUGUG